Molecule: non-coding RNA, 21 nt
Filed under: Caenorhabditis elegans
Lineage: Eukaryota; Metazoa; Nematoda; Chromadorea; Rhabditida; Rhabditidae
Source: RNAcentral
UUGUUAUGUUGUUGCUUUUUU